AUGCUCUCCUGAAGCACGUGUAAUAAACCUGGCUUGACACAGAGAAGAUUAGCGUAGUUCCCACACAAGGAUGGCAUGCCAAUUGAACAAGCAGCCCAUGUUUUA
Small nuclear RNA from Rattus norvegicus (Norway rat), 105 nucleotides. The record is from Ensembl. NCBI's taxonomy places the organism in Eukaryota, Metazoa, Chordata, Mammalia, Rodentia, Muridae.